RNAcentral lists this ribosomal RNA (772 nucleotides) under Bacillus sp. (in: firmicutes). RNAcentral's name for it is "bacterial SSU rRNA". It matches the Rfam family "Bacterial small subunit ribosomal RNA", at positions 68 to 819 of the family's 1533-position model. Lineage: Bacteria; Bacillati; Bacillota; Bacilli; Caryophanales; Bacillaceae. The record is from RNAcentral.
GAUGGAUUAAGAGCUUGCUCUUAUGAAAGUUAGCGGCGGACGGGUGAGUAACACGUGGGUAACCUGCCCAUAAGACUGGGAUAACUCCGGGAAACCGGGGCUAAUACCGGAUAACAUUUUGCACCGCAUGGUGCGAAAUUCAAAGGCGGCUUCGGCUGUCACUUAUGGAUGGACCCGCGUCGCAUUAGCUAGUUGGUGAGGUAACGGCUCACCAAGGCAACGAUGCGUAGCCGACCUGAGAGGGUGAUCGGCCACACUGGGACUGAGACACGGCCCAGACUCCUACGGGAGGCAGCAGUAGGGAAUCUUCCGCAAUGGACGAAAGUCUGACGGAGCAACGCCGCGUGAGUGAUGAAGGCUUUCGGGUCGUAAAACUCUGUUGUUAGGGAAGAACAAGUGCUAGUUGAAUAAGCUGGCACCUUGACGGUACCUAACCAGAAAGCCACGGCUAACUACGUGCCAGCAGCCGCGGUAAUACGUAGGUGGCAAGCGUUAUCCGGAAUUAUUGGGCGUAAAGCGCGCGCAGGUGGUUUCUUAAGUCUGAUGUGAAAGCCCACGGCUCAACCGUGGAGGGUCAUUGGAAACUGGGAGACUUGAGUGCAGAAGAGGAAAGUGGAAUUCCAUGUGUAGCGGUGAAAUGCUUAGAGAUAUGGAGGAACACCAGUGGCGAAAGGNGACUUUCUGGUCUGUAACUGACACUGAGCGCNAAAGCGUGGGGAGCAAACAGGGAUUAAAUACCCUGGUAGUCCACGCCNUAAACAAUGAANGCUAA